Molecule: long non-coding RNA, 3381 nt
Organism: Stegostoma tigrinum
Lineage: Eukaryota; Metazoa; Chordata; Chondrichthyes; Orectolobiformes; Stegostomatidae
Exons: 3
Source: RefSeq, a predicted model, not a curated record
GUCCGCGGGCGCAAUAUCUCUGCGAAUGAGGGUUAGCUGCUUGCCGAAGGUACAGUACACGGGAUAAAAAGGAAAGCUGCAAAAAAACGGGAGGGAAAUACUUUCGGUAUUGACUGAGAGGCUUUAUUAGCCGUUGAUGCAUGUCAGAAAACAAAUUUUAACAUGCCGGUCCCGUGUUUUGCAGCAAACGGAAAAACUGCUACGGACCUGAGGCUGCGAUAGGCAGAGGAUAUUUAUUGAGAAUAAUUUGCAGACCAGGAUCCCAAUGCAAGUUCUCCAUUAAGCGGAGUGAUCAGGAUCUGAGUAUCAUUGACACUUAACAGUGAAAGGAAAGAGGUUUAACCAUUCUAUGCGUGGGAGAAUACUCCUGGACCUUUCGUGAUCUAAUCCCGUAACAGUGUGAGCUGCUACAAUGCACAUGCUAGUAAAAGCAUAAGAGGACAGAUGAGAUGAGUGCAUGGCUGGAGCUAUAACUUAAAAAGAUUUGGAUUCCUGAGGCAUUGAGACUGUUUGUUUGUUUCUGGGGAAGGUGGGACAUGCACAAGCUUGAACAAUUGUCCUGGGCAGAGCUGGGACAGAUAUUCUUGUUGAUGCUUUUGCUAGUUCCACUGGUGAGGAUUUAAACUCGUAUGACAGGGGAAUGGGAACCAAAGUAUACCUUUAGCAGUAAAAGACUCAAAUCAGCAAAUGGGACGUGAAAUUAGUUCAUGAUGUUGUCGGUGGCUGAAAGAUUAAAAGAAAGAAGGAUUAAUCAAGAUCAAAUCUCUUUUCAUACAUCAGUCCUGUGAUCCCAGGAAUUGGUCUGGUGAACCUUCUUUGCGAUCAUUCAGUAGCCAGACCAUCCUUCCUUUGGAAAGGAGAACAAAGGUGCACACUACUGCAGGUGUGGUCUCACCAAGGCCCUUAUAGAAAGACAUCCCUCCUCCUGUACUCGAAUCCUGUCACAAUGAAGGCCGAAAUAUCAUUUGCAUUCUUCACUACUUGCUGCUGCCUGUUUCCUAAAAGAGAAUAGGAGAGAAACACGGAACUAAAUGGGGUCAGACAGUCGGGUACAAUUGUUGAACACACUGUCCCCAUUGUAUCGGUGCUGGCCAUCAAGCACCUAUUUAAGCUAGGCCCGUUUUCUGGCACUCGGUGUGUAACCUAUAUUAUGGUGCAGUGGAUGAUCAUCUCAACACUUCUUCAAGAUUGCAAUGGUUCCUGCAUCUAUUAACAUUUCAGAUGCUGCCAGAUCUACUGUGUAUCUCCAUCUUUUUCUGUUUUUAUUCCAGAUUUCGGGUAUUUUGCUGUGUAUUCUUAGUCCUUCAGAAGCAUCAGAGGGUAUGGGGAGAAAACAGGAAUUGGAUUCAUUUUCAGAUGUAUAAAAUGCCUGCCCUUCAUGUCUGUCCAAACUCUAUCUCUUUUUGUAGUUUUGGGCAAACGCUGACUGUUUCCUUUCCCUGAAGGACAUUAAAUGAACCAGUUCAGUUUUACUGAUAAUCCAGCAGUGCCCCUCAGUGUUGCAUCCACAAUUGACCAGAUUAAUUUCUGAGUUUCACAAUCUUUGUGUGUGUUCUUCUGGUUUCUCUCUCUCUCUCUCUCUCUACUUUUCUUUUUUUUCUUCAGUUUGAAAUUUUGAUUGCAUUCAGAGAAAUCAAACAAAACCACAUCCAGAUCUGACACUCAAUCUGUUUGUCAUAACCUAAUUAUCUCAGGAUUUUGAACAUUAAAGGAAGAAGCACUGUUCACACCAGGGAGAAAUGCGUAUUGUCUGUGUGUCGAAGAGUCUUUGAAGAUUCAUCUGAAAUGCCCAAACACCAGCGCAGUCACACUUGGGAGAGACUGUGGAAAUGUGGGGAUUGUGGGAAGGGAUUUAUUUACCCAUCCCAGCUGGAAAUGCACCAACGCAGUCACACUGGGGAGAAACCGUUCAUUUGCUCUGAUUGUGGGCUGGGAUUCACUCAGUCAAGCAACCUGCUGAAACACCGAGUUCACAGUGGGGAGAGACUGUUCACAUGUUCCGAGUAUGGGAAGGGAUUUGCUCGCUCACUCAACCAACCUGCUGAGACACCAGCGAGUUCACUCUGGGGACAGACCAUUCACUUGUUCUAUGUGUGGAAAGGGAUUCACUCAAUCAUCCCAACUGUUAACACACCAGCAAGUUCACCACAACCACAUUUGAAGGAUUUUGCCCUUAAAUCAAGGAAUGAACUUUGAUCUUUGGGCUGUUUGUACUGGUGUCAUUAGUCCCUGCUCAAAACUUGAUCUUCUCUUGGGAAAUAAGGUAGGGCAGGUGACUGAGGGGUCAGCAGGGGCGAGAAUAUUUUGGGGCCUAUGAUUGUAUCUCUAUUAGUUUUAAAAUAAUUAUGGAAAAGGAUAGACUUUGGUCUAAGAGUCAAAGUUUUAAAUGAGACUAAGGCCAAUUUUGACACUACUAUGCUCCUUAAAAGCACAGUAAGACCGCCUAUGUGUGGGAAUGCACGAGUUGGGUGAGAUACAAAAAAGUAUUUUACAUCAGUAUUUACUGUGAUCAAGGAUACAAAAGCUAAAGAACUUAGAGAAAUGAAUGUGUAUCUUGAAAAGUUCCAUGUUGUGGAGGAGGUGGUGCUGGAUGCCUUACAGACCAUAAAGGUGGAUAAAUCCCCAGGACCUCUUCAGGUGUAUUCUCGAACUUUGCGGGAAGCUAGGCUUGCAAUUGGGCCCCUUGCUCAGAUAUUUGCACCAUUGACAGUCAUAGGUGAGCUGUUACACUGGAGGUUGGCUAAUCUGGUGCCAUUGUUUAAGAAAGGUGGUAACAGAAAACCAGGGAACAAUAAACUUUUGGUGAGCCUGACGUCAGCUGUGGGUAAGUUGUUGGAGGGAAUUCUGAGGGAUAGGAUUUACAUAUAUUUGGAAAGCGUGGACUGAAUGGGGAAUAGUCGACAUGGCUUUGUCCAUAGGAAAUUAUGUCUUACUAACUUGAUUGAGUUUUUUUGAAGAAGUUAGAAACAAGAUUGAUGGCAGAGCGGUGGAUGUUUUCGAUAUUCCGCAUGGUCGACUGAUUAACAAGGUUAGAUCACAUGGAAUCCAGGGAGAGCUGGCCAUUUGGAAAGGCGUUUGACCUGCAGUAUGCUGCAAGGAUUGGUACUUAGUAGCUAUAACUCGUACAUUCACAUCCAAAUCAUCUUUAUAAAUGACAAAAUGGAGUGGACCCAGCUCUGAUCCUUGCAGCACACCACUGGUCACAGGCCUCCAGUCUACAAAGCAACCCUCCACCAGCACUCCGUCUUCUACCUUCAAGUCAGAUCUGUUUCCAAAUGACUGGUUCUCUCUGUAUUCCAUGUGAUCUGACCUUGCUCAUCAGUCUACCAUGAGGAACCUUGUCAAACGCCUUAGUGACAUCCAUAUAGAAUACAUCCACCU